GAAAUAGAUAGUGAUAAGACCUGGCCAAAUGGGGUGAGGAAACAAGUUGCAACCCACAUAUCUGGCAUUCAGUAGAUUGAGGUAGAGCUCUCUGCUGCUCUUUGAGGAAAACCCAUUUUGAUCAAAUUGGCAAUUGCAAAUUCUGCAAUUGCAGGAGGUGGAGGUGCAUGCUCUAAUAUCAACUCCUUAAAGUGAGACUGCUUGUUCAUAAGACCAUCUCAAUAAAACUCAUAAUGAAAAACGUACUUCUACUAGCAGGUGUUACUACAGGUUCUAAUUGAGCAACUUCAGUGAAUUUUAAGCAUACAA
Long non-coding RNA from Mangifera indica (mango), 309 nucleotides. RefSeq lists it as uncharacterized. The transcript has 2 exons. Lineage: Eukaryota; Viridiplantae; Streptophyta; Magnoliopsida; Sapindales; Anacardiaceae. The record is from RefSeq and is a predicted model, not a curated record.